AAUCCAUGGUGAGGACAUCUUCGCAGUAGGUCAUUUUAUCUCUCCCAUGCGUCGUAAAUAGUUUCUAAGUUCAUCUACACAAAUGAAGAGAUAUUAUUACGUAAUU
RNAcentral lists this small nucleolar RNA (106 nucleotides) under Gossypium hirsutum (cotton). RNAcentral describes it as "Plant small nucleolar RNA R71". It matches the Rfam family "Plant small nucleolar RNA R71". Rfam says of the family: R71 is a member of the C/D box family of snoRNAs containing the C (UGAUGA) and D (CUGA) box motifs. Multiple nearly identical copies of this snoRNA have been identified in Arabidopsis, and it is thought to function as a 2'-O-ribose methylation guide for 18S ribosomal RNA. The record is from Rfam by way of RNAcentral. Lineage: Eukaryota; Viridiplantae; Streptophyta; Magnoliopsida; Malvales; Malvaceae.